Molecule: transfer RNA, 73 nt
Filed under: Ictidomys tridecemlineatus (thirteen-lined ground squirrel)
Lineage: Eukaryota; Metazoa; Chordata; Mammalia; Rodentia; Sciuridae
Description: Spermophilus tridecemlineatus (thirteen-lined ground squirrel) tRNA
Rfam family: tRNA
About the family: Transfer RNA (tRNA) molecules are approximately 80 nucleotides in length. Their secondary structure includes four short double-helical elements and three loops (D, anti-codon, and T loops). Further hydrogen bonds mediate the characteristic L-shaped molecular structure. tRNAs have two regions of fundamental functional importance: the anti-codon, which is responsible for specific mRNA codon recognition, and the 3' end, to which the tRNAs corresponding amino acid is attached (by aminoacyl-tRNA synthetases). tRNAs cope with the degeneracy of the genetic code in two manners: having more than one tRNA (with a specific anti-codon) for a particular amino acid; and 'wobble' base-pairing, i.e. permitting non-standard base-pairing at the 3rd anti-codon position.
Source: Rfam by way of RNAcentral
GGGGCUAUGGCUCAGUUGGUAGAGUGCUUACCUCGAAGGCACCAGGCCCUGGGUUCAAUUCCCAGCACCACCA